GGGGCGAUAGUCUAGUAGUAUGAUUUCUAUUUCGCAUCUUUUACGAAGUUGCUUCCUACAGAAGGCCCCGCGUUCAAUCCGCGGUCGCUCCG
Non-coding RNA from Lasiosphaeria miniovina, 92 nucleotides. NCBI's taxonomy places the organism in Eukaryota, Fungi, Ascomycota, Sordariomycetes, Sordariales, Lasiosphaeriaceae. The record is from the annotation of a RefSeq genome assembly.